CGGAACGGGUGAGUAACGCGUGAGGAACCUGCCUCAAAGAGGGGGGCAACAGUUGGAAACGACUGCUAAUACCGCAUAAGCCCACAGGUCGGCAUCGACCAGAGGGAAAAGGAGCAAUCCGCUUUGAGAUGGCCUCGCGUCCGAUUAGCUAGUUGGUGAGGUAAUGGCCCACCAAGGCAACGAUCGGUAGCCGGACUGAGAGGUUGAACGGCCACAUUGGGACUGAGACACGGCCCAG
Molecule: ribosomal RNA, 238 nt
Filed under: uncultured bacterium
Lineage: Bacteria
Description: partial 16S ribosomal RNA
Rfam family: Bacterial small subunit ribosomal RNA
Source: RNAcentral